Molecule: long non-coding RNA, 187 nt
Organism: Manacus vitellinus (golden-collared manakin)
Lineage: Eukaryota; Metazoa; Chordata; Aves; Passeriformes; Pipridae
Exons: 3
Source: RefSeq, a predicted model, not a curated record
GAGAGUCCCCAGGUGAGCGGCUGCUCCAAGGCAGGGACAAGGUGGGCAGGUGGGCAGGGGGCUGGCGCUGCCUGUCUGCUCCUGGGUGGGCACCCACCUCAGGGAUCUAGCCUUGCAACACUUUGAUUGUCAUUGCUCAGUGACAGAAGGGAAAUGGCAAGCAAGAAGAAAGAAGUCCCACUCCAGG